AUGGGCUUAUAUUUUGACUCGUGUUUUUAUCAAUGAAGUCUUCUUUUCCGAUUAAAAAAAAACUACAAAAGUGGCAGUUUCUGUCAAACUUUGCACUGAAAAAUUACUAAUUUUGUAGAAGAAAAUAAAGAAAGAAAAAAAUUCUUGGACUGAAAUCAAUUCUGACUUCGCAUUUAUGAGUCAUUUCAAACAUGGCAGGAUUAAGAAAUUCAGAGACAAACAUAUAUGAUAUCCUUACCCAAGAACACAG
This 250-nucleotide unclassified non-coding RNA is filed under the name Hevea brasiliensis (rubber tree). The record is from RNAcentral. Lineage: Eukaryota; Viridiplantae; Streptophyta; Magnoliopsida; Malpighiales; Euphorbiaceae.